RNAcentral lists this ribosomal RNA (411 nucleotides) under Dohrniphora consimilis. RNAcentral's name for it is "partial 16S ribosomal RNA". Lineage: Eukaryota; Metazoa; Arthropoda; Insecta; Diptera; Phoridae. The record is from RNAcentral.
GUUAUUCCUAACUGUGCAAAGGUAGCAUAAUCAUUAGUCUUUUAAUUGAAGGCUGGAAUGAAUGGUCGAAUGAAAUAUUAACUGUUUCAAUUUAAGUUNUAAUUGAAAUUUAUUUUUUAGUUAAAAAGCUAAAAUUUAUUUAAAAGACGAGAAGACCCUAUAAAUCUUUAUAGUUNGUAAUUUAUACUAANUAUGUAGAAAAGUUUAUUUUUGUUAGUUAGAAUUAUUUUAUUGGGGUGAUAUUGAAAUUUAGUAAACUUUUAAUUUAUUUAUAACAUAAAUUUAUGAUUUGUNUGAUCCAUUGNNUAAUGAUUAUAAAAUUAAGUUACUUUAGGGAUAACAGCNGUAAUUUUUUUAAAGAGUUCAUAUUGAUAAAAAAGAUUGCGACCUCGAUGUUGGAUUAAGAUAUAA